CAUCAGCAAUGUUUUAUGGGUGGUUGGUUGCUGAUUUUGAUUUAUUUUUUUCUGCAGAAUUUAAAGCACAAUCCAAAUGGGAGGUUUGUUGUUGUAUGUGGAGAUGGUGAGUAUAUUAUAUACACUGCAUUGGCUUGGAGAAAUAGGUCAUUUGGUUCAGCACUGGAAUUUGUUUGGUCUUUUGAGGGAGAAUAUGCUGUCAGAGAGAGUACAUCAAAGAUUAAAAUCUUUAGCAAAAAUUUCCAGGAAAAGAGGAGUGUCCGGCCAACAUUUUCAGCUGAAAGAAUAUUUGGUGGCGCUUUAUUGGCAAUGUGCUCCAAUGACUUCAUCUGCUUUUAUGAUUGGGCUGAAUGCAGGUUGAUAUAUCGCAUUGAUGUCAAUGUGAAAAACCUCUACUGGGCUGACAGUGGUGAUCUAGUGACGAUUGCUAGUGAUACAUCAUUCUACAUUCUGAAGUACAAUCGUGAUGUUGUUAUGUCACAUUUAGACAGUGGAAAACCGGUAGACGAGGAAGGUGUUGAAGAUGCUUUUGAACUCUUACAUGAAAUGAAUGAGCGUGUUAGGACAGGCAUCUGGGUUGGGGAUUGCUUUAUCUACAACAACUCCUCUUGGAGACUUAACUACUGCGUUGGUGGUGAGGUUACUACAAUGUUUCAUUUGGAUCGCCCUAUGUACUUGUUGGGAUAUCUUGCAAAUCAAAGUCGUGUUUAUUUGAUUGACAAAGAGUUUAAUGUUAUGGGAUACACACUGCUUUUAAGCUUGAUUGAGUACAAGACACUUGUGAUGCGUGGUGAUUUGGAAAGGGCCAAUGAAAUUCUACCAUCAAUCCCUAAAGAGCAUCAUAACAGUGUGGCUCACUUUCUGGAAUCACGAGGGAUGAUAGAAGAUGCUCUUGAAGUAGCCACUGACCCUGACUACAGAUUUGAUCUAGCGAUACGUCUUGGAAAACUAGACGCUGCAAAGAGUAUUGCAAUAGAAUUGCAGAGCGAGUCUAAAUGGAAACAGUUGGGAGAAUUAGCUAUGUCUACUGGAAAGUUAGAAAUGGCUGAGGAAUGUUUGCAACAUGCAAUGGAUUUGAGUGGUUUGUUACUCCUAUAUUCUUCUCUAGGAGAUGCUGAAGGAAUAUCGAAACUUGCAUCCCUUGCUAAGGAACAAGGGAAAAACAAUGUUGCAUUCCUAUGCUUAUUUAUGUUGGGUAAAUUAGAAGACUGCCUUCAACUAUUGGUAGAAAGCAAUCGAAUUCCAGAGGCAGCUUUAAUGGCUAGAUCUUAUCUUCCGAGCAAGGCGUCAGAGAUAGUGGCAAUUUGGAGAAAAGAUCUCAAUAAGGUUAAUCCAAAGGCUGCUGAAUCAUUGGCUGAUCCUGAAGAAUAUCCAAAUUUGUUUGAAGACUGGCAAGUUGCACUUGGUGUUGAAUCUAAAGCUGCGGAAACAAGGAAUGUGUACCCUCCUGCAGACCAGUACGUCAACCAUGCUGACAAAUCACACAUUACCCUUGUUGAAGCUUUCAGAAACAUGCAGAUUGAAGAAGAGGAACAUCUAGAGAAUGGGUUGACUGAAGAAAAUGGAGAAGAGCACUACACAGAGGAACAAAAUGGAGAGGAAGGAAGCCAAGAGGAGGCAGUUGUAGUGGAUGCAGAUUCUACAGAUGGUGCAGUACUCGUUAAUGGUAACGAGGCUGAAGAAGACUGGGGUACGAAUAAUGAAGGAGCCCCGUCAGCCUAAAAGCAAUUGGUUGGGGUGGUGUGAAAAUCGAAAUUUUGUCUCUGUGCUUGCCCCACAUCACUAGGUCUCAUCAAGACAGUCUGUUCCAGCUUCUGGGAUAUUUAUCUGAGGUCUCCUCAAGGUGACAUAAAGAGGUUUUCUGGUCUGGUAGUUUGUUUCCUGGUGUUGCGGUUUUGUAGUGCCCUGAAUUUUGUCAUUUUGCACGUGGUACAAACAAUAUUUCAUAGGGUCAGUUAGAAUUUGCUAGAUAUAUAGCACAUUCUUUGGAGGCUUUUACCUCAAUAUACUCAUAUCAUUGUGAAUGUAGAAAAAACGGAACUAGAGAUGAGUGACUGCUUAAAUUUUAGAUAGUUUUUAUUUUGAAAAAAAAAAUCAUGUCCGUGAUUAAACAUUUUAUUUUUUAUGGAUUGUAAACAUGCAUGGUUAAUAGAGAAAAUAAUGAUUCCCCCUAGUUCUUCAA
This is an RNA transcript of Vigna umbellata (rice bean), 2182 nucleotides long. It is a transcript of the gene named coatomer subunit beta'-1, with no coding region annotated. The record is from RefSeq and is a predicted model, not a curated record. NCBI's taxonomy places the organism in Eukaryota, Viridiplantae, Streptophyta, Magnoliopsida, Fabales, Fabaceae.